CUCCAUGAAGUUGGAUUCGCUAGUAAUCGCGCAUCAGCCAUGGCGCGGUGAAUACGUUCCCGGGCCUUGUACACACCGCCCGUCAAGCCAUGGGAGCCGGGGGUGCCUGAAGUUCGUGACCGCAAGGAGCGACCUAGGGCAAAACUGGUGACUGGGGCUAAGUCGUAACAAGGUAGC
Molecule: ribosomal RNA, 177 nt
Filed under: uncultured bacterium
Lineage: Bacteria
Description: partial 16S ribosomal RNA
Rfam family: Bacterial small subunit ribosomal RNA
Source: RNAcentral